This 289-nucleotide ribosomal RNA is filed under the name uncultured bacterium. RNAcentral's name for it is "partial 16S ribosomal RNA". It matches the Rfam family "Bacterial small subunit ribosomal RNA", at positions 28 to 321 of the family's 1533-position model. The record is from RNAcentral.
GAUGAACGCUGGCGGCGUGCUUAAUACAUGCAAGUCGGACGGAGUGUUAGCAAUAGCACUUAGUGGCGAACGGGUGAGUAACGCGUUGGUGACCUGCCCUAGAUCGUGGGAUAACAGAUCGAAAGGUCUGCUAAUACCGCAUGAAGUUACAGGCGUUAGAGAACUGUAACGAAAGGCGAAAGUCGAUAUAGGAGGGACCUGCGUCCCAUCAGCUAGUUGGUGAGGUAACGGCCCACCAAGGCGAAGACGGGUAGGGGGCCUGAGAGGGUGACCCCCCACACUGGCGACU